CCUACGGGGGGCUGCAGUGGGGAAUAUUGGACAAUGGGCGAAAGCCUGAUCCAGCCAUGCCGCGUGUGUGAAGUAGGCCUUCGGGUUGUAAAGCACUUUCAGUGGGGAAGAAAGCCUUGGGGCUAAUACCCUCGAGGAAGGACAUCACCCACAGAAGAAGCACCGGCUAACUCCGUGCCAGCAGCCGCGGUAAUACGGAGGGUGCGAGCGUUAAUCGGAAUUACUGGGCGUAAAGCGCGCGUAGGCGGUCUGAUAAGCCGGUUGUGAAAGCCCCGGGCUCAACCUGGGAACGGCAUCCGGAACUGUCAGGCUAGAGUGCAGGAGAGGAAGGUAGAAUUCCCGGUGUAGCGGUGAAAUGCGUAGAGAUCGGGAGGAAUACCAGUGGCGAAGGCGGCCUUCUGGACUGACACUGACGCUGAGGUGCGAAAGCGUGGGUAGCAAACAGGAUUAGAUACCCUAGUAGUC
Molecule: ribosomal RNA, 465 nt
Filed under: Vreelandella stevensii
Lineage: Bacteria; Pseudomonadati; Pseudomonadota; Gammaproteobacteria; Oceanospirillales; Halomonadaceae
Description: partial 16S ribosomal RNA
Rfam family: Bacterial small subunit ribosomal RNA
Source: RNAcentral